This 948-nucleotide ribosomal RNA is filed under the name uncultured bacterium. Its description in RNAcentral is "bacterial SSU rRNA". It matches the Rfam family "Bacterial small subunit ribosomal RNA", at positions 56 to 974 of the family's 1533-position model. The record is from RNAcentral.
UGCAAGUCGAACGCUUCUUUUUCCACCGGAGCUUGCUCCACCGGAAAAAGAGGAGUGGCGAACGGGUGAGUAACACGUGGGUAACCUGCCCAUCAGAAGGGGAUAACACUUGGAAACAGGUGCUAAUACCGUAUAACAAUCGAAACCGCAUGGUUUUGAUUUGAAAGGCGCUUUCGGGUGUCGCUGAUGGAUGGACCCGCGGUGCAUUAGCUAGUUGGUGAGGUAACGGCUCACCAAGGCGACGAUGCAUAGCCGACCUGAGAGGGUGAUCGGCCACAUUGGGACUGAGACACGGCCCAAACUCCUACGGGAGGCAGCAGUAGGGAAUCUUCGGCAAUGGACGAAAGUCUGACCGAGCAACGCCGCGUGAGUGAAGAAGGUUUUCGGAUCGUAAAACUCUGUUGUUAGAGAAGAACAAGGAUGAGAGUAACUGUUCAUCCCUUGACGGUAUCUAACCAGAAAGCCACGGCUAACUACGUGCCAGCAGCCGCGGUAAUACGUAGGUGGCAAGCGUUGUCCGGAUUUAUUGGGCGUAAAGCGAGCGCAGGCGGUUUCUUAAGUCUGAUGUGAAAGCCCCCGGCUCAACCGGGGAGGGUCAUUGGAAACUGGGAGACUUGAGUGCAGAAGAGGAGAGUGGAAUUCCAUGUGUAGCGGUGAAAUGCGUAGAUAUAUGGAGGAACACCAGUGGCGAAGGCGGCUCUCUGGUCUGUAACUGACGCUGAGGCUCGAAAGCGUGGGGAGCAAACAGGAUUAGAUACCCUGGUAGUCCACGCCGUAAACGAUGAGUGCUAAGUGUUGGAGGGUUUCCGCCCUUCAGUGCUGCAGCUAACGCAUUAAGCACUCCGCCUGGGGAGUACGACCGCAAGGUUGAAACUCAAAGGAAUUGACGGGGGCCCGCACAAGCGGUGGAGCAUGUGGUUUAAUUCGAAGCAACGCGAAGAACCUUAC